AUAGACAACGAAUCAUCCCAAAAUUCAGGCGGUGGACUUUGGGAGCAACUGUAGACUUGGGGGUUCCCCCAUGUCCAAACCCAACCCAAAGCCAGAAGACCUGCAAUCUCAUUGAUGUGAUCCACAAAAGAAUGGAAUGUGUGUCUGCAGGGACAAGCUUGAAAUCUUUUCUUUUGUGGUUCCUGAGAAGUUUUCAUGUCAAAGACUUAUAAAAUGAGUCGAAGAGUGAACACUUUUGCUAUUGUCCGGAAGUGAUUGUGUAAGAUCGGAAUUCUUUGUUCUUGGAAUGCUUGGUGGAAGAGCUGUUAAAGCUUCUGGAGACUGGAGGAUGCUUUGUGGGAAGGUUUUCCAUUACUCACUCAAUUUUUUUAAACAGUUUGAGGAUUUUAAAAAAUUUUUUUCUUGCAAUCCGAUGCACUCUGUGACCUGUUCACCUGAUGUUUCCCAUUUAACCAUUAAGAAGAUCCCCUUGCAGAGGCUGAAGAGCUAUGGAAGCACCAGUAGCCAGUGUCCGUAGGCAGCUGUCCUGGAGCUUCAGAACCGAACUGGCCAAGGACAUUGGUGCCAACCCAAAGGAGAAAUGGGUCCGGAAUUAUAUGAAACACCUGGGUCAGAAACCUCACACCCUGAAGACUUGGACUCUUUCGGCCACACUAAGACCGAACCAGAGGCUGAGAAAUGAUUAUUCUCCCCCAGCCUUCCUGUCUCUAUCCUCGACUAAAUUGACCUGAAUUUUCAGAUAGGGUGCUUUCUGUUUCCUGAUGCAAAAUGUACUAUGUCUUAAGUAAUAUUGAGUAUUAUUUGAAUUGUGGCUGGUUGGGGAGUUAUUCUGAAUAUUGGUGAUCUCUUUUUUUAAAGCAGGGCCUUGAGCCACUUGGCUCCUGUCGUGAGCCCCAGCUCCUUCUCCUGUAAGCUGUGGACAGUGGGUCUUUCUCCUGCCUAACUCCCCAGGGGUAAUGAGCAUGCCUAUGAGAGCCACAACGAUGAAGGGCUACUGCAAUCUAGGGAGGACAGCGCCUGGUGAAUGUGAGGUGUUGCUAAAUGUGUUAUUAUGGAAACAUGAAUGCAAUUGUAGGAUGGCUGUCUUUUUGCAGAAAAUACAUUUUGCUUAAAAUCUCUGAUACAGUAGUGGUGUUUUCUUCAGGGAUAACUCCCAACCAGUAGGGGGUGCUCUCAGGUGCA
Balaenoptera musculus (blue whale) is the source of this 1182-nucleotide RNA transcript. It is a transcript of the gene named C-C motif chemokine 8, with no coding region annotated. The record is from RefSeq and is a predicted model, not a curated record. Lineage: Eukaryota; Metazoa; Chordata; Mammalia; Artiodactyla; Balaenopteridae. The transcript has 4 exons.